RNAcentral lists this ribosomal RNA (440 nucleotides) under uncultured bacterium. RNAcentral describes it as "partial 16S ribosomal RNA". It matches the Rfam family "Bacterial small subunit ribosomal RNA", at positions 338 to 795 of the family's 1533-position model. The record is from RNAcentral.
CCUACGGGAGGCAGCAGUGGGGAAUAUUGCACAAUGGGGGAAACCCUGAUGCAGCGACGCCGCGUGAGUGAAGAAGUAUCUCGGUACGUAAAGCUCUAUCAGCAGGGAAGAAAAUGACGGUACCUGACUAAGAAGCCCCGGCUAACUACGUGCCAGCAGCCGCGGUAAUACGUAGGGGGCAAGCGUUAUCCGGAUUUACUGGGUGUAAAGGGGGCGUAGACGGCGGUGCAAGCCAGAUGUGAAAGCCCGGGGCUCAACCCCGGGACUGCAUUUGGAACUGUAUGGCUGGAGUGUCGGAGAGGCAGGCGGAAUUCCUAGGGUAGCGGUGAAAUGCGUAGAGAUUAGGAGGAACACCAGUGGCGAAGGCGGCCUGCUGGACGAUGACUGACGUUGAGGCUCGAAAGCGUGGGGAGCAAACAGGAUUAGAUACCCUGGUAGUC